AGCAGCCGCGGUAAUUCCAGCUCCAAUAGCGUAUAUUAAAGUUGUUGCAGUUAAAAAGCUCGUAGUUGAAUUUCGGGAUCAGUUGAUCGGUCGUGCCUCGGUACGUACUGGUCAAAUUGAUUCCUACCUUCUGACGAACCACGAUGUCAUUAAUUUGGUGUCGCGGGAAAUCAGGACUGUUACUUUGAAAAAUUAGAGUGUUUAAAGCAGGCUCGCGCUUGAAUACAUUAGCAUGGAAUAAUGAAAUAGGACGUUUGAUUCUAUUUUGUUGGUUUCUAGGAUCGACGUAAUGAUUAAUAGGGAUAGUUGGGGGCAUUAGUAUUCAAUUGUCAGAGGUGAAAUUCUUGGAUUUAUUGAAGACUAACUACUGCGAAAGCAUUUGCCAAGGAUGUUUUCAUUAAUCAAGAACGAAAGUUAGGGGAUCGAAGACGAUCAGAUACCGUCGUAGUC
RNAcentral lists this ribosomal RNA (450 nucleotides) under uncultured Glomeromycotina. Its description in RNAcentral is "SSU rRNA". It matches the Rfam family "Eukaryotic small subunit ribosomal RNA", at positions 569 to 1025 of the family's 1831-position model. The record is from RNAcentral. Lineage: Eukaryota; Fungi; Glomeromycota.